UGGGGAAUAUUGCACAAUGGGCGCAAGCCUGAUGCAGCCAUGCCGCGUGUAUGAAGAAGGCCUUCGGGUUGUAAAGUACUUUCAGCGGGGAGGAAGGCGAUAAGGUUAAUAACCUUGUCGAUUGACGUUACCCGCAGAAGAAGCACCGGCUAACUCCGUGCCAGCAGCCGCGGUAAUACGGAGGGUGCAAGCGUUAAUCGGAAUUACUGGGCGUAAAGCGCACGCAGGCGGUCUGUCAAGUCGGAUGUGAAAUCCCCGGGCUCAACCUGGGAACUGCAUUCGAAACUGGCAGGCUAGAGUCUUGUAGAGGGGGGUAGAAUUCCAGGUGUAGCGGUGAAAUGCGUAGAGAUCUGGAGGAAUACCGGUGGCGAAGGCGGCCCCCUGGACAAAGACUGACGCUCAGGUGCGAUAGCGUGGGGAGCAAACA
This 427-nucleotide ribosomal RNA is filed under the name uncultured bacterium. Its description in RNAcentral is "partial 16S ribosomal RNA". It matches the Rfam family "Bacterial small subunit ribosomal RNA", at positions 355 to 774 of the family's 1533-position model. The record is from RNAcentral.